Molecule: ribosomal RNA, 798 nt
Filed under: uncultured beta proteobacterium
Lineage: Bacteria; Pseudomonadati; Pseudomonadota; Betaproteobacteria
Description: bacterial SSU rRNA
Rfam family: Bacterial small subunit ribosomal RNA
Source: RNAcentral
CAAGUCGAACGCGAAAGGAGGGGCAACCCUCCGAGUAGAGUGGCGAACGGGUGAGUAAUACAUCGGAACGUGUCCAGUAGCGGGGGAUAACCUCUCGAAAGAGAGGCUAAUACCGCAUACGACCUACGGGUGAAAGAGGGGGAUCGCAAGACCUCUCACUAUUGGAGCGGCCGAUGUCGGAUUAGCUAGUUGGCGGGGUAAAAGCCCACCAAGGCGACGAUCCGUAGCUGGUCUGAGAGGACGGCCAGCCACACUGGAACUGAGACACGGUCCAGACUCCUACGGGAGGCAGCAGUGGGGAAUUUUGGACAAUGGGCGCAAGCCUGAUCCAGCCAUGCCGCGUGAGUGAAGAAGGCCUUCGGGUUGUAAAGCUCUUUCGGCUGGGACGAAAAGGUCUGUGUUAACACCACGGAUCCAUGACGGUACCAGCAGAAGAAGCACCGGCUAACUACGUGCCAGCAGCCGCGGUAAUACGUAGGGUGCAGGCGUUAAUCGGAAUUACUGGGCGUAAAGCGUGCGCAGGCGGUUUGCUAAGACAGGUGUGAAAUCCCCGGGCUUAACCUGGGAACUGCGCUUGUAACUGGCAAGCUAGAGUGUGGCAGAGGGGGGGUGGAAUUCCACGUGUAGCAGUGAAAUGCGUAGAGAUGUGGAGGAACACCGAUGGCGAAGGCAGCCCCCUGGGCUAACACUGACGCUCAUGCACGAAAGCGUGGGGAGCAAACAGGAUUAGAUACCCUGGUAGUCCACGCCCUAAACUAUGUCAACUGGUUGUCGGGGAAGCAAUUCCUUGGUAACGAA